AUUUAAAUAGUUUAAAUAAAAAUGUUAGCUUGUGGUGCUAAAGAUGUAUAGAGUACUUUAAAUA
This 64-nucleotide transfer RNA is filed under the name Enoplolambrus validus. RNAcentral describes it as "tRNA-His". Lineage: Eukaryota; Metazoa; Arthropoda; Malacostraca; Decapoda; Parthenopidae. The record is from RNAcentral.